RNAcentral lists this ribosomal RNA (371 nucleotides) under uncultured bacterium. RNAcentral's name for it is "bacterial SSU rRNA". It matches the Rfam family "Bacterial small subunit ribosomal RNA", at positions 527 to 896 of the family's 1533-position model. The record is from RNAcentral.
AGAGGUCCCAAGCGUUGUUCGGAUUCACUGGGCGUAAAGGGUGCGUAGGCGGUCGGGUAAGUCUAACGUGAAAUCUCCGAGCCUAACUCGGAAACUGCGUCGGAUACUAUUCGGCUAGAGGAAUGGAGGGGAGACUGGAAUUCUCGGUGUAGCAGUGAAAUGCGUAGAUAUCGAGAGGAACACCAGUGGCGAAGGCGAGUCUCUGGACAUUUCCUGACACUGAGGCACGAAAGCCAGGGGAGCAAACGGGAUUAGAUACCCCGGUAGUACUGGCCCUAAACGGUGCACGUUUGCUGUAAGAGGAAUCGACCCCUUUUGUGGCGAAGCUAACGCGUUAAACGUGCCGCCUGGGAAGUACGGCCGCAAGGUUA